RNAcentral lists this ribosomal RNA (253 nucleotides) under uncultured bacterium. RNAcentral's name for it is "partial 16S ribosomal RNA". It matches the Rfam family "Bacterial small subunit ribosomal RNA", at positions 524 to 776 of the family's 1533-position model. The record is from RNAcentral.
UACAGAGGGUGCGAGCGUUAAUCGGAAUUACUGGGCGUAAAGGGUGCGUAGGUGGUUGCAUAAGUUAGGUAUGAAAGUCCUGGGCUUAACCUGGGGACUGCGCCUAAGACUGUGUGGCUAGAGUACUGUAGAGGAAGGUGGAAUUUCCAGUGUAGCGGUGAAAUUCGUAGAUAUUAGCAGGAACACCGGUGGCGAAGGCGGCUAUCUGGACGACAACUGACACUGAGGCGCGAAAGCGUGGGGAUCAAACAGG